This 433-nucleotide ribosomal RNA is filed under the name uncultured bacterium. Its description in RNAcentral is "partial 16S ribosomal RNA". It matches the Rfam family "Bacterial small subunit ribosomal RNA", at positions 29 to 507 of the family's 1533-position model. The record is from RNAcentral.
AACGAACGCUGGCGGCAUGCCUAACGCAUGCAAGUCGAACGAGACCUUCGGGUCUAGUGGCGCACGGGUGCGUAACGCGUGGGAACCUGCCCUUAGGUUCGGCAUAACUCCCCGAAAGGGGUGCUAAUACCGGAUAAUGUCUUCGGACCAAAGAUUUAUCGCCUUUGGAUGGGCCCGCGUUGGAUUAGCUAGUUGGUAGGGUAAAAGCCUACCAAGGCGACGAUCCAUAGCUGGUCUGAGAGGAUGAUCAGCCACACUGGGACUGAGACACGGCCCAGACUCCUACGGGAGGCAGCAGUGGGGAAUAGUGGACAAUGGGCGAAAGCCUGAUCCAGCAAUGCCGCGUGAGUGAUGAAGGCCUUAGGGUUGUAAAGCUCUUUUACCCGGGAUGAUAAUGACAGUACCGGGAGAAUAAGCUCCGGCUAACUCCGUG